CCCUUAGAUGUCCGGGGCCGCACGCGCGCUACACUGAAGGAAUCAGCGUGGCUUUCUCCCUGACCCGAAAGGGUUGGGAAACCCGUUGAAUCUCCUUCGUGAUAGGGAUUGGGGCUUGAAAUUGUUCCCCAUGAACGAGGAAUUCCCAGUAAGCGCGAGUCAUAAGCUCGCGUUGAUUACGUCCCUGCCCUUUGUACACACCGCCCGUCGCUACUACCGAUUGAACGGUUUAGUGAGGGCCUCGGAUUGGUCUCGGCCCGCUCUUUACCGGGCGGCGCCGUUGUUCGAGAAGACGCUCGAACUUGAUCGUUUAGAGGAAGUAAAAGUCGUAACA
RNAcentral lists this ribosomal RNA (334 nucleotides) under uncultured eukaryote. Its description in RNAcentral is "partial 18S ribosomal RNA". It matches the Rfam family "Eukaryotic small subunit ribosomal RNA", at positions 1470 to 1796 of the family's 1831-position model. The record is from RNAcentral.